AUGCCCCCGCCCAUCUUCACCGCCCAGCAGCUCAUCGACCGUUUCAAGAACAAGAACCUCACCGCGGGGGAGAUGGUCCUCCUCUCCGUUGGCCGCUCCUUCUACUCCUACUUCGUCGACCGCAUCUGGAACGGCAACACACCCAUAGUACGUCCGUCGAGUGAGACCCUAUAUGAGUUACGUAUGUGCGCUGAACUAUCAUCUAUCAGGUGGAGCCCUAGCAGAAAAAAAAUCAUUAAUCAGGUGGAUACAGGGCUGAGACCGUCUUACGCAGCGCAGCUGCGGGUGCUGUGCUCGCCCGACGUGCUGGACAACAACUACUACAAGCUGCUGCCGCGCGGCAUGGGGCUCUUCUUCUCCGACAACCAGCUCCGGGUCGACGGGAACCUGAACAUAUGUUGGUGA
This 405-nucleotide ribosomal RNA is filed under the name Triticum aestivum (bread wheat). RNAcentral's name for it is "partial small subunit ribosomal RNA". The record is from RNAcentral. Lineage: Eukaryota; Viridiplantae; Streptophyta; Magnoliopsida; Poales; Poaceae.